UGGGGAAUCUUGCGCAAUGGGCGAAAGCCUGACGCAGCCAUGCCGCGUGAAUGAUGAAGGUCUUAGGAUUGUAAAAUUCUUUCACCGGGGACGAUAAUGACGGUACCCGGAGAAGAAGCCCCGGCUAACUUCGUGCCAGCAGCCGCGGUAAUACGAAGGGGGCUAGCGUUGCUCGGAAUUACUGGGCGUAAAGGGCGCGUAGGCGGAUCGUUAAGUCAGAGGUGAAAUCCCAGGGCUCAACCCUGGAACUGCCUUUGAUACUGGCGAUCUUGAGCAUGAGAGAGGUAUGUGGAACUCCGAGUGUAGAGGUGAAAUUCGUAGAUAUUCGGAAGAACACCAGUGGCGAAGGCGACAUACUGGCUCAUUACUGACGCUGAGGCGCGAAAGCGUGGGGAGCAAACAGG
RNAcentral lists this ribosomal RNA (404 nucleotides) under Bacillota bacterium. RNAcentral's name for it is "Firmicutes bacterium partial 16S ribosomal RNA". It matches the Rfam family "Bacterial small subunit ribosomal RNA", at positions 355 to 776 of the family's 1533-position model. The record is from RNAcentral. Lineage: Bacteria; Bacillati; Bacillota.